Molecule: ribosomal RNA, 1246 nt
Filed under: metagenome
Description: bacterial LSU rRNA
Rfam family: Bacterial large subunit ribosomal RNA
Source: RNAcentral
UGAGUACGAGACGCUAAGGCGUCGAAGUAGUGUAUGUCAUACUUCCAAGAAAAGCUUGCACUGUCAUUCAUAAAAAAUGCCUGUACCAUAACCGACACAGGUGGGUAGGUAGAGUAUACUAAGGGGCGCGAGAUAACUCUCUCUAAGGAACUCGGCAAAAUAACUCCGUAACUUCGGGAGAAGGAGUGCCUUAUUUAUAUAAGGUUGCAAUAACAAGAUCCAAGCAACUGUUUACCAAAAACACAGGUCUCCGCUAAGUCGUAAGACGAUGUAUGGGGGCUGACGCCUGCCCAGUGCCAGAAGGUUAAAGAAGUUGGUUAGCAAUAGCGAAGCUGAUAACUGAAGCCCUGGUGAACGGCGGCCGUAACUAUAACGGUCCUAAGGUAGCGAAAUUCCUUGUCGGGUAAGUUCCGACCCGCACGAAAGGCGUAAUGAUUUGGAUACUGUCUCGGAGAGGGACUCGGUGAAAUAGACUUGUCUGUGAAGAUGCGGACUACCUGCACCUGGACAGAAAGACCCUAUGAAGCUUUACUGUAACCUGAAAUUGAAAUUGGACUUUAUUCGCGCAGUAUAGGUGGGAGGCGUUGAAAAUAAUCUUGCGGGACUAUUGGAGCCAUCAGUGAGAUACCACUCUUAUAAUGUUAGAUUUCUAACUUUGAAUCAUUAUCUGGUCAAAGAACAGUUUCAGGCGGGCAGUUUGACUGGGGCGGUCGCCUCCCAAACGGUAACGGAGGCGUACAAAGGUUUCCUCUGAACGGGUAGAAAUCGUAUCUAGAGUAUAAAGGCAAAAGGAAGCUUGACUGUGAGACCUACAAGUCGAGCAGGGACGAAAGUCGGUCUUAGUGAUCUGACGGUACUGAGUGGAAAGGCCGUCACUCAACGGAUAAAAGUUACUCUAAGGAUAACAGGCUGAUCUCCCCCAAGAGUUCACAUCGACGGGGAGGUUUGGCACCUCGAUGUCGGCUCAUCGCAUCCUGGGGCGGUAGUACGUCCCAAGGGUUGGGCUGUUCGCCCAUGAAAGCGGUACGCGAGCUGGGUUCAGAACGUCGUGAGACAGUUCGGUCCAUAUCCGGUGUAGGCGUUAGAAUAUUGAGAGGAGCCUUCUUUAGUACGAGAGGACCGAGAAGGACAUACCUCUGGUGUACCAGUUAUCGUGCCAACGGUAAACGCUGGGUAGCUAUGUAUGGAGUGGAUAACCGCUGAAAGCAUCUAAGUGGGAAGCCCACCUCAAGAUGAGUAUUCUCAU